RNAcentral lists this ribosomal RNA (790 nucleotides) under uncultured bacterium. Its description in RNAcentral is "bacterial SSU rRNA". It matches the Rfam family "Bacterial small subunit ribosomal RNA", at positions 8 to 796 of the family's 1533-position model. The record is from RNAcentral.
AGAGUUUGAUCAUGGCUCAGGAUGAACCUAGCGGCAGGCUUAAUACAUGCAAGACGAACGGUAACUGGUGUAGCAAUACACUAGCUAGAGUGUCGUACGGGUGCGUAACACGUAUGCAACCUACCUUGUACAGGGGUAUAGCUCGGGGAAACUCGAAUUAACCCUCCAUAAUAUGUUGAGGUGGCAUCACCAUAACAUUAAAACUGAGGUGGUACAAGAUGGGCAUGCGUUUGAUUAGUUAGUUGGCAGUGUAAUGGACUACCAAGACGAUGAUCAAUAGGGGACCUGAGAGGGUGAUCCCCCACACUGGCACUGAGAUACGGGCCAGACUCCUACGGGAGGCAGCAGUAGGGAAUAUUGGACAAUGGGUGAGAGCCUGAUCCAGCCAUGCCGCGUGCGGGAAGAAGGCGUUAUGCGUUGUAAACUGCUUUCGCCAGGGGAUAAAAAGACCGUGCGCGGUUAAUUGAAGGUACCUGGUGAAUAAGCCACGGCUAACUACGUGCCAGCAGCCGCGGUAAUACGUAGGUGGCAAGCGUUGUCCGGAUUUAUUGGGUUUAAAGGGUGCGUAGGUGGCUAACUAAAUCAGUGGUGAAAUAUCUCAGCUUAACUGAGAGGGUGCCAUUGAUACUGGAUAGCUUGAGUACAGAUGAGGUAGGCGGAAUUGACGGUGUAGCGGUGAAAUGCAUAGAUAUCGUCAAGAACACCGAUAGCGAAGCAGCUUACCAAGCUGUAACUGACACUGAGGCACGAAAGUGUGGGGAUCAGACAGGAUUAGAUACCCUUGUAGUCC